GGCUAUUAAGGAGGUAAUAAUAGUCAGGCCUGCUCACUGACGUUAAUAAGUUUAAGAGCCGCGGUAUACUGACCGUGCAAAGGUAGCAUAAUCAUUAGUUUUUUAAUUGAAAACUUGUAUGAAGGGUUUGACAAAAGAAAUACUGUCUUUAUUUUAAAUAUUGAAUUUAACUUUUAAGUGAGAAGGCUUAAAUUAUUUGAGGGGACGAUAAGACCCUAUAAAGCUUUAUUUAUUAUUUAAAAUUUAUUGAAGUAACAAUUUAAAAAUAUAUUUUAACUAAUUUAUUUUGUUGGGGCGAUAGAGAUAUAAAUUAAAUAACUGUUUAAAAUUUAAACAGCUAUAAUUGGAUGUAAGUAAAUGAUCCUUUAUUAAAGAUUAAAAGAACAAGUUACUUUAGGGAUAACAGCGUAAUUUUCUUUGAGAGUUCUUAUCGAAAAGAAAGUUUGCGACCUCGAUGUUGAAUUAAAAGAUCUUUAUUGUGCAGCAGCUUUAAGAGAAGGUCUGUUCGACCUUUAAAUUUUUACAUGAUU
This 530-nucleotide ribosomal RNA is filed under the name Mursia aspera. RNAcentral describes it as "partial large subunit ribosomal RNA". It matches the Rfam family "Archaeal large subunit ribosomal RNA", at positions 1921 to 2674 of the family's 2987-position model. The record is from RNAcentral. Lineage: Eukaryota; Metazoa; Arthropoda; Malacostraca; Decapoda; Calappidae.